CGUUGUGUGUUCGCCUCUUGACAUUCUCCUCGGUGUCCGAGGACCUGGGGCUGGUGCAUUUUCGGUUGUUGCUGAUCUGUCUCAGGACUCUGACACUGUCCAACUUGACCCUCUUGGCAGCAGGAUAGUCCUUCCGAGUGGAGGGAGGCGCUGCGUAGUUGUGCUGAUGUGUGGAGACGUGGCACCUCUUGAGGACCAGUGGGCUGUGAGGAGGU
RNAcentral lists this long non-coding RNA (215 nucleotides) under Homo sapiens (human). RNAcentral describes it as "non-protein coding lnc-FAM84B-20:2". Lineage: Eukaryota; Metazoa; Chordata; Mammalia; Primates; Hominidae. The record is from RNAcentral.